Non-coding RNA from Gossypium raimondii (Peruvian cotton), 145 nucleotides. The record is from Rfam. Lineage: Eukaryota; Viridiplantae; Streptophyta; Magnoliopsida; Malvales; Malvaceae.
UUUUAAAAAUUCCAUCCAUUUCUAUUGUUAAAAAUUGACGUGACUAACAAAAUAACCAGACAGUUACACGUGGCAUGUUAUGUGUACCUUAUGAUGAUAUACAUGAACUAGUUUUUAAUAGUAGAAAUGAAUGCAAUUUUCAACC